AUACGUAGGUGGCGAGCGUUGUCCGGAAUUACUGGGCGUAAAGGGCGCGUAGGCGGUCAUUUAAGUCGGGUGUGAAAUCUUGGGGCUUAACCUCAAGUUUGCAAACGAUACUGGGUGGCUUGAGUGCAGGAGAGGGCAGUGGAAUUCCUAGUGUAGCGGUGAAAUGCGUAGAUAUUAGGAGGAACACCAGUGGCGAAGGCGGCUGCCUGGACUGUAACUGACGCUGAGGCGCGAAAGCGUGGGGAGCAAACAGGAUUAGAUACCCUGGUAGUCCACGCCGUAAACGAUGGGUACUAGGUGUAGAGGGUAUCGACCCCUUCUGUGCCGGAGUAAACACAAUAAGUACCCCGCCUGGGGAGUACGGCCGCAAGGUUGAA
RNAcentral lists this ribosomal RNA (377 nucleotides) under uncultured bacterium. Its description in RNAcentral is "bacterial SSU rRNA". It matches the Rfam family "Bacterial small subunit ribosomal RNA", at positions 523 to 898 of the family's 1533-position model. The record is from RNAcentral.